This 406-nucleotide ribosomal RNA is filed under the name uncultured bacterium. RNAcentral's name for it is "bacterial SSU rRNA". It matches the Rfam family "Bacterial small subunit ribosomal RNA", at positions 356 to 773 of the family's 1533-position model. The record is from RNAcentral.
UGGGAAUAUUGGACAAUGGGGUAACCCCUGAUCCAGCCAUGCCGCGUGAGUGAUGAAGGCCUUCGGGUUGUAAAGCUCUUUUAGUAGGGAAGAAGGGAAACUUGACUGUACCUACAGAAAAAGCACCGGCUAACUCUGUGCCAGCAGCCGCGGUAAUACAGAGGGUGCAAGCGUUGUUCGGAAUUAUUGGGCGUAAAGCGCGUGUAGGCGGUCGAAUAAGUCUGGUGUGAAAGCCCGGGGCUCAACCCCGGAAGUGCACUGGAUACUGUUUGACUAGAGGACGAGAGAGGAGAGUGGAAUUCCUGGUGUAGGGGUGAAAUCCGUAGAUAUCAGGAGGAACAUCUGUGGCGAAGGCGGCUCUCUGGCUCGUUUCUGACGCUGAGACGCGAAAGCGUGGGGAGCAAAC